GAUGAACGCUAGCGGGAGGCCUAACACAUGCAAGUCGAACGGGAUUGAGAGCUUGCUCUCAUGAGAGUGGCGCACGGGUGAGUAACGCGUAUGCAACCUACCUUUAACUGAGGGAUAGCCCAUAGAAAUGUGGAUUAAUACCUCAUAGUUCUGAACUUCCGCAUGGGAGAUCAGAUAAAGCUCCGGCGGUUAAAGAUGGGCAUGCGUGACAUUAGCUAGUUGGUAAGGUAACGGCUUACCAAGGCUACGAUGUCUAGGGGUUCUGAGAGGAUGAUCCCCCACACUGGUACUGAGACACGGACCAGACUCCUACGGGAGGCAGCAGUGAGGAAUAUUGGUCAAUGGGCGCAAGCCUGAACCAGCCAUCCCGCGUGCAGGAUGAAGGCCCUAUGGGUCGUAAACUGCUUUUAUACGCCAAGAAAAACACAGACGAGUCUGUGCCUGACGGUAGUGUAUGAAUAAGCAUCGGCUAACUCCGUGCCAGCAGCCGCGGUAAUACGGAGGAUGCAAGCGUUAUCCGGAUUCAUUGGGUUUAAAGGGUGCGUAGGCGGCUUUUUAAGUCAGUGGUGAAAUCUUGCCGCUUAACGGUAAAAUUGCCAUUGAUACUGAGGAGCUUGAGUACAGUUGAGGUAGGCGGAAUGUGUAGUGUAGCGGUGAAAUGCUUAGAUAUUACACAGAACACCAAUUGCGAAGGCAGCUUACUAAACUGGUAACUGACGCUGAUGCACGAAAGCGUGGGGAGCGAACAGGAUUAGAUACCCUGGUAGUCCACGCCGUAAACGAUGCUCACUCGCUGUUUGCGAUACACAGCAAGCGGCCAAGCGAAAGCAUUAAGUGAGCCACCUGGGGAGUACGAUCGCAAGGUG
This 866-nucleotide ribosomal RNA is filed under the name uncultured bacterium. Its description in RNAcentral is "bacterial SSU rRNA". It matches the Rfam family "Bacterial small subunit ribosomal RNA", at positions 28 to 895 of the family's 1533-position model. The record is from RNAcentral.